CAGGUAAUGCCAUUCCAGGUGCAUAUCCAGCAGCUCCGAAUGCUGCUUGGACGAAGAUGACUUGCACUCAAUAUGGCCAUGGAUGCAUGCCGCUGCAGUCUUGCCCUUUGAAGUUGAGGCUGACACUCACGGGAUGCGGUGCAGGUUCUGUCUGCUGCAACAUCCUAAAAACCAAAAGCUGCUCCCAGGUUGGCGGUCAAUGUCUCAAACGUUGCCGAGGAUAUGGAGUUCGGAACCACUACGCCAAAUGCGACAUAAAAGGGCUAAAGUGCUGCGUAUACGUGCAAUAGUAGGGGUCUCAAAAGCCAAUGGCACGCGCAGAGUAAUCCUUGAUGUCAUGGGCAGUUUACCACUGCUAUGAUAGAUACGGAGCAAUAAAAUGGUGGAGGAAA
Molecule: long non-coding RNA, 392 nt
Organism: Rhipicephalus sanguineus (brown dog tick)
Lineage: Eukaryota; Metazoa; Arthropoda; Arachnida; Ixodida; Ixodidae
Exons: 3
Source: RefSeq, a predicted model, not a curated record